GACCUUUUACGUUGUUGCCCGUAUCAUCUGUAGGUGACUUUCAAGUACAUCAAGGCCUCUGUAAGCAUCUCCUUGCGAUCAGCGACAGACGUUUGAACCGUAUAUGCCAAGGUGACCCAGCACGCUGUCAAACAAAAAAUUUAAUGAAAAAAAAGAUGUAUCUUCUACUGCUCUGCGUCGCACUGGCAGUCACUGUAACACUCGUGCUACUACAGAUGAUUAACAAGAAGAUCUUAGGCCGCAGCAACUCCGGCAACGAUAUUCCAGGACUGAAUACCAAAGAUAUCAAACAUGGGAACCUAGAACUGGUAAAAAAACAUGGAAGU
Molecule: long non-coding RNA, 326 nt
Organism: Lingula anatina
Lineage: Eukaryota; Metazoa; Brachiopoda; Lingulata; Lingulida; Lingulidae
Source: RefSeq, a predicted model, not a curated record